AUCUUUGCUCUAGGCAUAAAUUUACUUGUGAGAACUUAAAAUCAUCUUACACAGCCAAGUUCUUUUAUUUUCCAGGGACAUCAUUAGCUGCAACAGACAGGGAUUGAGGCAUUCAGUGUUAGUGGAGAUUACUGUUAUUGAGGUGGGUAGGAACUGAGAAUUUGGACAGAAUGCAAAUAGCAUCAAGAGGUGACCUGCAAGAAACAUACAGGUCUGUCAGAAAGUAAGAACUGUGCUCUGCAAAAAGCAUUGUCAUAGAUAUUGGCAGAAUCAUUUAUGAUCAGGCUUAUCUGAAGUAUGAACAAAUCACUCUGGAAUCUUCUGGGACAUUGGAAGAGGGAAAAAACAUGGUAAUAAAGAAAUCAGCGUCUGGAGAACUCCCAGGAGAUCGGUGUCAAUGCAUUUGUGUGUUCUGGAUUCUUCAAUGAAGAACCGUGCAUCGAAAGAAACAAAGAAGGAAUUCAAGAGAUGGCUUAGUAGUUAAGAGAACUGGCUUUUCCAGAGGACCUGGGUUCAAUUUGCAGAACCAAUAUGGCAGCUCACAACUAUCUGUAACUAUUGUUUCAGGGGAUCCAACACCCUCAUAUAGACGUACAUGUAGUCAAAUCACCAAUUUAGAUAAAGUAAAAAUAAAGAAAUUAUUAUGAAAGAAA
Mastomys coucha (southern multimammate mouse) is the source of this 653-nucleotide long non-coding RNA. RefSeq lists it as uncharacterized. The transcript is spliced from 3 exons. The record is from RefSeq and is a predicted model, not a curated record. Lineage: Eukaryota; Metazoa; Chordata; Mammalia; Rodentia; Muridae.